UGGUAGUGCCCAGAUCACAGCUGCAGGCACACAAAGAAAGUUUUGAUGCUGGUAUCCAUAUCCCUCCUUCUCAUCAACAACAGAAAGGAUGACUACUUAAGAUUCUGUUGUCUUAAAGGCUUUAUUAAGUUAUUGCCCAAGGAUUAUCCAUCUGCAAAAUAAAAGCGAUUGCAAUUUCUGCAUGACUGCAGGAAAAAUAAAUACUAUUCCAUAGCAUGCUAUUUUACAAGUUUCUUUAAGGUUAUUUGAAAUUUCAAAUGGUAACAAGCUUGGAAUUGUUUUUUUCUUCAACUAUGGACUGUAUCAAAGUUUAUGAGCUAUAAUUGUCUUUUGGUUUCUGCCAGGCAUCAGGAUAGCUCAUUUGCAUGACUGAUAUAAAAUUUACUUAUUCAAUGAAUGAUGCGCUGUACUAACCCAUCUCUGUAAUAAUAACUGCAGUGUGACUAACAAUAACUAAUCUUGUCUCAACUACAAAAGCACGUAAAUUAGUAAAAUAAAUGUUUAGUUGUGUA
Long non-coding RNA from Cebus imitator (Panamanian white-faced capuchin), 512 nucleotides. RefSeq lists it as uncharacterized. Lineage: Eukaryota; Metazoa; Chordata; Mammalia; Primates; Cebidae. The transcript is spliced from 3 exons. The record is from RefSeq and is a predicted model, not a curated record.